RNAcentral lists this ribosomal RNA (497 nucleotides) under uncultured bacterium. Its description in RNAcentral is "partial 16S ribosomal RNA". It matches the Rfam family "Bacterial small subunit ribosomal RNA", at positions 36 to 507 of the family's 1533-position model. The record is from RNAcentral.
UCUUCCCUCUUUCUUCGUGCCUAAUACAUGCAAGUCGAGCGAACAGACGAGGAGCUUGCUCCUCUGACGUUAGCGGCGGACGGGUGAGUAACACGUGGAUAACCUACCUAUAAGACUGGGAUAACUUCGUGAAACCGGAGCUAAUACCGGAUAAUAUAUUGAACCGCAUGGUUCAAUAGUGAAAUACGGUUUUGCUGUCACUUAUAGAUGGAUCCGCGCCGCAUUAGCUAGUUGGUAAGGUAACGGCUUACCAAGGCAACGAUGCGUAGCCGACCUGAGAGGGUGAUCGGCCACACUGGAACUGAGACACGGUCCAGACUCCUACGGGAGGCAGCAGUAGGGAAUCUUCCGCAAUGGGCAAAAGCCUGACGGAGCAACGCCGCGUGAGUGAUGAAGGUCUUCGGAUCGUAAAACUCUGUUAUUAGGGAAGAACAAAUGUGUAAGUAACUAUGCACGUCUUGACGGUACCUAAUCAGAAAGCAACGGCUAACUACGUG